GAUCCUGUAGCUCAGUCGGUAGAGCAACUGACUUUUAAUCAGUAGGUCGCGCGUUCAACCCGCGCCAGGAUCACUU
RNAcentral lists this transfer RNA (76 nucleotides) under Ehrlichia ruminantium str. Welgevonden. Its description in RNAcentral is "tRNA-Lys". It matches the Rfam family "tRNA". From Rfam's summary of the family: Transfer RNA (tRNA) molecules are approximately 80 nucleotides in length. Their secondary structure includes four short double-helical elements and three loops (D, anti-codon, and T loops). The record is from RNAcentral. Lineage: Bacteria; Pseudomonadati; Pseudomonadota; Alphaproteobacteria; Rickettsiales; Anaplasmataceae. RNAcentral also lists the same sequence under 1 other name.